AAAGUCGUAACAAGGUUUCCGUAGGUGAACCUGCGGAAGGAUCAUUAGUGAAUUCGCCUCGCUCAGAGGCGUCACCAAUCUCACCCUGUGAAAUGGCCCCUUUUUGACACGCAAGUGAUGUAUGCUGUAAACUUAAAGCGAAAACAACUUUCAGCAACGGAUCUCUUGGCUCCC
RNAcentral lists this unclassified non-coding RNA (174 nucleotides) under Basidiomycota sp. RNAcentral describes it as "partial contains small subunit ribosomal RNA, internal transcribed spacer 1, and 5.8S ribosomal RNA". The stretch from base 1 to 47 matches the Rfam family "Eukaryotic small subunit ribosomal RNA", at positions 1785 to 1831 of the family's 1831-position model. Lineage: Eukaryota; Fungi; Basidiomycota. The record is from RNAcentral.